CACAGUUCUGGAAGCUUUGAAGUCCAAGAUGAAGGUGGCAGCAGCUUGAGUGUCUGAAACAAGAAGAAAUGGAAAAUAACUGCAGCACGUUUAUGACAUUCGUUUCUUUCUCCACAUGAAACAUACAAUGAGAACACUUUAUAGAUGAAUUGUGUCUUCGAUUGAAUAGAGAAUGGUGGACUAGCUUUGGUUUUAUGGAAUUGGAUAAUUUGUCAUAGUUUCUGUCCCUGGAAAAAUGAGAACCCAAAGGAAAACAAGUGGAAAGCCUUUAAAAAAUAGUGAUAUAAUACACAGCUGAUAUUUUUGGUUCAUAGAAUACUUUAAAGUACAUCAUUUACAAAGCAAAUUACUAAAUUAUAAGAAAUGCUGUCAUCAUCAAUAAACAUUCACAGAGCUUCAGGUUUUAACACAAAGCAUUCCUCAUAUUUCAGGUGAUAUUAUUUAUGAAAAAAUUACUUGGAGAUUGCUCCAAGGUUAUCACAUUCUUUUCAAACCAUCAAUUCCCUAUUAUUAUUUACUAUUAUUAGUUAUUAUUUAUAAAUACAUAUGAAUACACAAUGAAAGCAUGCUUUAUGUAUAGCAUAUAAAUAUAUUUGAACUUUACUUUCCCCACAUACUAUCUAUCCUGCAAUAUUACACCACCAGUAAAAGAGUAUCUAAAUAUUAAUUGCUCCUAUCACAAUAGUGGAAACUAGAAGAGAUAAGUUUUCCCAAAUCUGAGUAGAAAACCAUGGUUAGCGGAUAUCCAUUUGUCCAUUUACGGAAUUAUAGCAAUAAAAUCCAGCCAAUAAUUUUUAGUUUGCUUAUUAUGUAGUGGCAAAACAUAAUGUCUUUUUCUCACCCAUUACAAGGGUCACAGCUGACAUACCUAUAACAAAAACCAGAUGAACAAGAAAAAUGCAUAAUGUGUUCAUUUAAUAAAGUUUUAAGUGACGUGGGAGCCUUCA
Molecule: long non-coding RNA, 947 nt
Filed under: Homo sapiens (human)
Lineage: Eukaryota; Metazoa; Chordata; Mammalia; Primates; Hominidae
Description: GRM7 antisense RNA 3
Source: RNAcentral